CGACUUAGUGGCGGACGGGUGAGUAACGCGUGGACAACCUACCGUAUACAGGGGGAUAACGGCCGGAAACGGCCGCUAAUGCCGCAUAUGCGCACAGCGCCGCAUGGCGCGGGGCGGAAAGCUUUCGCGGUAUACGAUGGGUCCGCGUCCGAUUAGAUUGUUGGCGGGGUAACGGCCCACCAAGUCGACGAUCGGUAGCCGGCCUGAGAGGGCGGACGGCCACACUGGGACUGAGACACGGCCCAGACUCCUACGGGAGGCAGCAG
RNAcentral lists this ribosomal RNA (266 nucleotides) under uncultured bacterium. RNAcentral describes it as "partial 16S ribosomal RNA". It matches the Rfam family "Bacterial small subunit ribosomal RNA", at positions 88 to 354 of the family's 1533-position model. The record is from RNAcentral.